Molecule: ribosomal RNA, 497 nt
Filed under: uncultured bacterium
Lineage: Bacteria
Description: partial 16S ribosomal RNA
Rfam family: Bacterial small subunit ribosomal RNA
Source: RNAcentral
GAUGAACGCUGGCGGCGUGCCUAAUACAUGCAAGUCGAGCGAACGGACGAGAAGCUUGCUUCUCUGAUGUUAGCGGCGGACGGGUGAGUAACACGUGGAUAACCUACCUAUAAGACUGGGAUAACUUCGGGAAACCGGAGCUAAUACCGGAUAAUAUUUUGAACCGCAUGGUUCAAAAGUGAAAGACGGUCUUGCUGUCACUUAUAGAUGGAUCCGCGCUGCAUUAGCUAGUUGGUAAGGUAACGGCUUACCAAGGCAACGAUGCAUAGCCGACCUGAGAGGGUGAUCGGCCACACGGGAGCUGAGACGCGGUCCAGACUCCUACGGGAGGCAGCAGUAGGGAAUCUUCCGCAAUAGGCGAAAGCCUGACGGAGCAACGCCGCGUGAGUGAUGAAGGUCUUCGGAUCGUAAACCUCUGUUAUUAGGGAAGAACAUAUGUGUAAGUAACUGUGCACAUCUUGACGGUACCUAAUCAGAAAGCCACGGCUAACUACGUG